GUAUAGUAAUAGUUGUAGUAGAUUUGUAAGUUAAAUAAAAGGGUCAUUUCAUUCGUAUGGGUGUUGUCAUUCUUCUUUUUUAGCAACAAGGUAUUGCAAAAAUUUAAUUGUGCAAAAAGCACUAGGAGGAUACACACAUGAAUACAGGUACAGUGAAAUGGUUUAACGCAGACAAAGGUUUUGGCUUUAUUACUCAAGAUAACGGACAAGAUGUGUUCGCACACUUUUCAGCUAUCCAAGGCGAAGGCUUCAAAACUUUAGACGAAGGUCAAGCAGUGACUUUCGAUGUUGAAGAAGGCCAACGCGGCUUACAAGCAACGAAUAUUUUCAAAAACUAAUUUAAACCAGUCAGAAGUGAUCCAUAUGGUUGGGUCGCUUCUUUU
Molecule: small RNA, 383 nt
Filed under: Enterococcus pallens ATCC BAA-351
Lineage: Bacteria; Bacillati; Bacillota; Bacilli; Lactobacillales; Enterococcaceae
Description: cspA thermoregulator
Rfam family: cspA thermoregulator
Source: Rfam by way of RNAcentral